AUGCAUGUGGGACAGGGCCGGGAACAGAGAAGAGGCUCUGCGGAAGACAGGAGAAAGGGAAAGGGGAACGGCGCUGUGCUUUGUGGAGCAAUAGUGGAGAUAGUGCAGCUUUCCAGGACACAAGGAGAGAAAACAAAUCAGAAAAUGGCCUGUGCUGUUCUCAUGAUAGUACAUAAGUUGCAUGAGAGCUGAUGGUUCUAUAAGGGGAGCUUUCCUGCACAAACUCUUUCUUUGCCUGCUGCCAUCCAUCUAAGAUGUGACUUGCCUCUCCUUGUCUUCCACCAUG
RNAcentral lists this long non-coding RNA (286 nucleotides) under Homo sapiens (human). Its description in RNAcentral is "non-protein coding lnc-ZSWIM6-2:2". Lineage: Eukaryota; Metazoa; Chordata; Mammalia; Primates; Hominidae. The record is from RNAcentral.